This is a long non-coding RNA of Bombus pascuorum, 620 nucleotides long. RefSeq lists it as uncharacterized. The transcript is spliced from 2 exons. NCBI's taxonomy places the organism in Eukaryota, Metazoa, Arthropoda, Insecta, Hymenoptera, Apidae. The record is from RefSeq and is a predicted model, not a curated record.
AUAUAAUUUUUAGCGAUUAUACGCAGAUCGAGGUCUCAAUAGAUGUAAUACUUUCCCAACCGAUAUAAAAUAUGGAGGUUAUUCAAGAUAUAAAACGGAAACCGCUGAAGAUUAGUUCAUUCGAAAACUUUUUACCGACCACGUGUCGCAAUGGCACGAAACUUCUCGGACCACGCCCGCUCCAAAGCAUUUUUUGUCUAGACGUUGUAUCGAAGGGAUAGGAAACAAUUGUCGCGAUCCAAGAAGAUAAUUGAGCAAGGGCCAAGGACAUAAAGAAUGGUGCGUUCAUUGUGUCAUGAUCUGUUGCAUAAUUGUUCAAAUAUGUUCGUUUACCAGUUGCAUAAAGACCAAAGUAAAUGGACCUACAAAAUGCAUUAAAAAUUUCUCAUUCGCAUCACCUAAUCACUAUGAGAUUAUAAAUAAAUUUUUAUUGUCACGAUAUCUAUUUGUACGUUGUCCUUUCAUCUAUCGUCAAACAUUUAUUUGAAGAUAAAAUCAAAAGAAAUCGUAGGUUGAAUUUUGUAAAAUACAGGGCACCUAGUGUAUAAUGUAAGAAAUAAAGAAUCAAGUUGAAAUAUUUAAAUGUAUAAAUUCGUUCAAUAAACAGUCAAUACUUUUGA